AUGGCUUCUCCCUGUGGAACUUCUUCUGGAUCCAGCCUGCUCCAAAACUCAGGCUCCGAACAGGAUCUGCAGGCAGUGAUAAACCAGAAGCAAAAGAGAAUGACAUCGAACCGCGAAUCUGCAAGGCGGUCGAGGAUAAGGAAGCAGAAGCACUUCGAUGAUCUGACAGCACAGUUGAACCAGCUGAGAAAGGAGAACAGCCAGAUCCUGACAUCCUUGACCCUCACCACACACCAUUACUUAGCUGUUGAGGCUGACAACUCUGUCCUCAGGACUCAGAUGGUGGAGCUCAGCAGCAGGCUGCAGUCUCUUGACGAGAUCCUUCAAUGCUUGAAUGGAAACAACCCCAUCAGCAAUGGCCUUUCUGUGACAGCCCUCAGAUCAAUGAUAGCUUCAGCAAUCCAUGCAACUUCACUUACAUGAACCAGCCCAUCAUGGCUUCAGCAGACAUGUUCCCAGACAGACAGAGAAGUCACAAAUGCCGUAAAAGGGAGGCUGUUGUCUGCGAAUGGUGCUAUCAGUGCUUUGUCAAUGAGUUGGUCUCUAUCCAUCUUCCUGUCAUGUUGUAGUUCUCAUGUUCAGGUGCAGAAGGUGAACAGCCCAGAGUGGUAUGAAGAACAUGACUUUGUCUGAAUGCCAUGAAGAGUGUCACAUGCUGGCUUCUGUAUGGUCUAUUUUCUGCAUCUGCAUCAAGAAUCAUGGUUAGGUAAUCUAUUUAUUUAAAAUAUAAUAAACAGUUCAUGUUGAUCCAAA
Musa acuminata AAA Group (dessert banana) is the source of this 753-nucleotide RNA transcript. It is a transcript of the gene named bZIP transcription factor 11-like, with no coding region annotated. The transcript has a single exon. Lineage: Eukaryota; Viridiplantae; Streptophyta; Magnoliopsida; Zingiberales; Musaceae. The record is from RefSeq and is a predicted model, not a curated record.